Molecule: long non-coding RNA, 237 nt
Filed under: Lathyrus oleraceus (garden pea)
Lineage: Eukaryota; Viridiplantae; Streptophyta; Magnoliopsida; Fabales; Fabaceae
Description: Pisum sativum (pea) long non-coding RNA (PSAT_LNC021240)
Source: RNAcentral
GUGGAUGCAGUUUGAAGAUGAUAUUGUGUGAUAGAGUUUUGAGUUGAUGGAGGUUGAUGGUGGUGAUGAAGGUUGAAGUUAUGCAGGAGUUGUAUUGUUUGUUGUUGUCACGGUGGGAAGAAAAAAAAUGGUGGUUCGGUUUGGUUCGAACCGCGGCGGACGGGGGGAUUAGAUACGGAGGUGAAAGCGUUGUAGGGAGAAAAGGAAAAGUGGUUUUUUCUUUGAUGUGAAGAGAGA